This 327-nucleotide ribosomal RNA is filed under the name uncultured eukaryote. RNAcentral describes it as "partial 18S ribosomal RNA". It matches the Rfam family "Eukaryotic small subunit ribosomal RNA", at positions 1470 to 1796 of the family's 1831-position model. The record is from RNAcentral.
CCCUUAGAUGUUCUGGGCCGCACGCGUGCUACACUGACGAAUGCAACGAGCUUAUAACCUUGGCCGAAAGGUCUGGGUAAUCUCCAAAUUUCGUCGUGAUGGGGAUAGAUUAUUGCAAUUAUUAAUCUUCAACGAGGAAUGCCUAGUAAGCGCAAGUCAUCAGCUUGCGUUGAUUACGUCCCUGCCCUUUGUACACACCGCCCGUCGCUCCUACCGAUUGAAUGGUCCGGUGAAGCGUUCGGACCGUGGCCUUUGGACGGUUCGCCGUCUGUUGGCUGCGGGAAGUUCGUUAAACCUUNUNAUUUAUNGGAAGGAGAANUCGUANCA